Long non-coding RNA from Engraulis encrasicolus (European anchovy), 414 nucleotides. RefSeq lists it as uncharacterized. The record is from RefSeq and is a predicted model, not a curated record. The transcript is spliced from 3 exons. NCBI's taxonomy places the organism in Eukaryota, Metazoa, Chordata, Actinopteri, Clupeiformes, Engraulidae.
AGUUGGGCAGACGAGCAAUGCAUUAUGGGCAGCAUAUCGCAAGAAGAGGAUCACAGCGAGCAACUUUGGUUUGGUUUUGUCUGCAGUCAGAAGACAGUCUUUCCCACCUUCAUUGUUCAAGACACUGCUGGGAGAAUACAACCCCAAACAAGGAGCUCGUGCAUGUGAUUGGGGAAUCGUGCACGAGAAAGAGGCCAAAAAGAAGUUCAUGGAACAAAGUGGGGAGACCAUCCUGGAGAAGGGACUGUUCCUGUCUGACAGUGGGCUGCUUGGGGCCUCCCCAGAUGGACUUCUACUGUCCAGCAAUUACCUUGUGGAGGUGAAAUGCCCAUAUUCUGCCAGAGAGAAAACAAUCGCUCAGGCAGCAGAGGCAAAGGACUUUUACCUGUACGUGGACCAAGUCACCGGGCUAUU